Molecule: RNA transcript, 3301 nt
Organism: Salvia miltiorrhiza (redroot sage)
Lineage: Eukaryota; Viridiplantae; Streptophyta; Magnoliopsida; Lamiales; Lamiaceae
Exons: 4
Source: RefSeq, a predicted model, not a curated record
AAGGCGUGCAUUACGCACACCCUACUUUUUUUCUGGUGUUGAUUGAGUUUUGAGCCAACAUUUUUAUAUUCCAAUUCUACCCCCACCCCGAAUAUAUAUUUUCUUUCUUUAUUAUUUUAUUUUAUAUAUUUUCUUGCCCCAAUUUGUUUCUUCAAAGCUCACGAAAACAAACCCUAGACCGUGAAACUGAGGAAUAAGAAUCUGUUUUUCAGAGAGCAUCUGAGAUUUGAACCCCCUAAUUCGGACUGCGGUGAUCGUUUAUACCUGUCUAAUUUCUCGAAAAGCCUUUUGAUAUUUGUUAAAGAAGAUAGGCUGCUAUGAGAUUCAAAACUGGGGACGUGGUUGAGGUGAUGAAGAGUAGGGAGGUACCAGUUUCAUGGCGUGCUGCUGACAUACUAUCACGUAGCGGGGAUACUUAUACCAUCCAGUAUGUUUGCUAUCCUGGUAUGGCAAAUAAGCGGUUGGUGGAGGUGGUUUCAAGGAAGUUAUUGAGACCUUGCCCUUCUUCGCUACAAGGGGCGAAGAGUUUCAUAACAGGAGACAUUGUUGAGGUCUUCCAUCAAUUUUCCUGGAAGAUUGCUGUGGUCUUGAAUGUUCUAGGAGGCAAAAAAGAAAGUAGAAAUAAUAAGAUCCAUCACAAGGUUUCGACAUGCAAGAAUCGAUAUUUAGUGAGGCUACUUGGGUGCUCAAAGGAAUUGGCUAUUGAUAGAACGAAGAUCAGGAUGAGACAGACAUGGCAUGAUGGAAAAUGGGUUCCAUUGACAAAGAUUCCUCAAGUAGGGGAUGAUGUAAUAGUGAGCAAACCAUCAAAGUCAAAUUGUUGUCCGAAGAUGAACUUCCAGGUUCCAGUGUUCGAUUCACGAGCUAAAUAUCAACCUGCAGAAGAUUGUGGAAACAUCCAAGAUGAAGCUGCACUGAGGGAAUCUGCUGUGAUCUCUUCAAGAUCGCUAAAGAGGAUGUCCCCCUAUAUUUCCUCCGUUGUCGAAGCCAAUAACGGGCAUGUACAGAAAUUUAGAGCAGCGGAGAAAGAAGGCCGGAAGCAGCGAGUGGUUGCUGACCGGGUUCUUGAAAAGGUACAUGCUGUUGCUUACCCAAAAGAAACUUUGGGUGAAACAUACAUGCAUGCUUCCCAUAACAUUAUAUCAAAUGGAUAUGAUCAAAUGGAGAGGGAAAAACAAAAUGACGUUCUUGGCUAUUCUGGGUUCAGAGACUCUGAAUUAAAUAGUUCUGACAGUGAUGUUUGUUCUGUUGGUAGUUGUAGUGUUACUAACCAGAGUCGUAAAAACUAUUAUAAUCAUUUUAUGCCUUUGCAUUGCCAAGAGACAGACACCCUUUGUAGUGAUGCAGAGUCUUUUUAUGGUUCAGGCUCUGAGAGAAAGAGUUCCUCUCUCCCUCCAAAAGAAGAGGUUGAGGUCAGUAUACGUAGCUUAGAGUUGCGUGCUUAUCGCAGCACUCUGGAAGCUUUGUAUGCUUCUGGUCCCUUAAGUUGGGAACAGGAAGCAUUGUUGACAAAUCUUCGUAUUAUGCUCCACAUUUCAAAUGAUGAACAUUUGAAGGAGCUGAAGCAUCUAAUUUCCACUAAAACUGCAAUUACUGUUAGAUGAUUGUACAAAUUAUUCGUAUAUCAUUGCUCUGUUUUAUAGCAAAAUUGUAGAAGUUGCUCUUUUGUCAACAUUGUAAGAAGAAACAUGAAUGCAAUAAGUUGUAUCUUCUAUCUCUUUCUUUGCAGACAGAUUGGCGUUUUGUAACUAAGAGAUACAUGUCAAUUCUUAAUUGAUCAUCAAAUGUAGUGUAUUUUCCCAAGGCUUUUACUGUAUCCAUUUUUGAUGAUGACCUGUUCUGUCUUGUAUUGCUUCUAGUUCUUUCUAAAACUCAAGUGCUCAUGCCUAAAAUUGUGUACACCAGUAAAUUAUUUUAUAUAUGAUGGUUAAGAGAUGCUAUUAUUGUUGUGUUCGAUCAUGUAAUAGACCUUUCUAUUUGCAUUCUUUUGUUUCAGAUGUCCUUAACUUUGGAUAUUGUGCCCUACAUAACAUCAUUACGGAUUUCUACUAUUCAACUACUUAGCUUUUGAUGAUCUGUACAUGAGGAACUGAAUCUGGAAGGUUACAGUUGACUUUGGCCUGCAAUGUUAUUGCUAGCCAAAGCUGCAUUUCUGGCUCUACUUUUACCUACAGAGUAACUAAUUUGAUCACUGUUGACCCUUAUAGUGCUUCAGUGCUGCUUUUUAGUGAAAUUCUGUAUGCAAUGCAUUAAUAAUUUACUUCUGUAAGUAUGAUUUCUUCCAUUUGACUUUGGCUGCUCUUGGACUCUGCACAUGGAUUUUCUGAGGAUGUAUUGAUCAUGCUUGAAUCCUGUACUUAUUUUCCAGGGCUACAGUUUGAGGCAUGCAUCAUUUGCUUCCAAUGGUCCAAAGCUGAUGCCAGGUUUACAGCCUUUCUCUUGGCAUUGAACUUUGGACGAUUCAGUCGUCUACUUUCAGAGCUAUGCUACAGUUAUGACCGUUCUCUGGUAUCACACAGUUUAUGCUACUUCAGUUUUUUUCUUUUUCUUCCAGCCUUAACUCCAUAUUUUAGGAUUUGUUUACCAGAGAAUAGUAAAUGUUAAAAGUGCUGUUUGUACCAAAGUUCCAUUUUCUGUUAGGAGUGCACUAACCAUAUUGAAAAUUUAAGUGACUUAUUUUAUACUUUUGCCAUGGAUAUAUAAAUCAUGUCAACAAAAAAAAUUAUCUAUGCGCGAAUCAAAGUCAGUUCUUGUCAUCGAUUUUCACCAUACUUGUGCGAGCAUCUAUAAUUGUUAGUUUGAACUGUACGGUGUAACGUGAGUUUGUCGUCUGAAGCAAAAAUUACCGCUUUUUAAUCUGAUGGGGUCUCAUUUUGAAUCUCCAGUUCUAUUCAAUAUACAUCAUCAUAAACUACUUCAAAAUAGUGAAAAACUGGUGGCUGUGUUUUCUAGGCAUAUUGCUUCAACUCAUACUUUAUUUGAUUAACAGCUCUGUUGUGUGAACACUGAUUAAAUGAAUGAGAAUGAGCCUUGAAAACAUUCUUGAGAAGAUGAAAAGAGUUGGAGAGAUUCAGCUGAGAAAAGAUCUCAAAUUUUAGUACUUCACUGCAGAUGAAGAGCUUCAUACAAGUCUGUCUUUCUGGGAGCAGUUUCAGCUGGUAACAAUCAGCUAAGGAAACAGUUAAGAGAAAUCAAUCAUAUAUCCAAUAUUUUGUUUACAUCUAAAAAUUGGUGAAUAGUUGUUAUGUGUUUUGCGUUGAGUUGGUCACUGACUUCUUAAUAAAUUUGGUUAUGUUGAUCA